GAUGAACGCUGGCGGCGUGCCUAACACAUGCAAGUCGAGCGUGAACCGUCUGAAUGAAACUUCGGUCGAGUGAGGAUGGGGAAAGCGGCGGACGGGUGAGUAACGCGUAGGCAACCUGCCCCGUACAGAGGGAUAGCCUCGGGAAACCGGGAUUAAGACCUCAUAAUACCAUUAUCUCACAUGUGAUAAUGGUCAAAGAUUUUAUCGGUAUGGGAUGGGCCUGCGUCUGAUUAGCUGGUUGGUGGGGUAACGGCUCACCAAGGCGACGAUCAGUAGCCGACCUGAGAGGGUAAUCGGCCACAUUGGAACUGAGACACGGUCCAAACUCCUACGGGAGGCAGCAGUGGGGAAUAUUGCACAAUGGGCGAAAGCCUGAUGCAGCAACGCCGCGUGAGCGAGGAAGGCCUUUGGGUCGUAAAGCUCUGUCGAGGAGGAAGAUAAUGACGGUACUCCUCGAGGAAGCCCCGGCUAACUACGUGCCAGCAGCCGCGGU
RNAcentral lists this ribosomal RNA (493 nucleotides) under uncultured bacterium. RNAcentral describes it as "bacterial SSU rRNA". It matches the Rfam family "Bacterial small subunit ribosomal RNA", at positions 28 to 521 of the family's 1533-position model. The record is from RNAcentral.